This 393-nucleotide ribosomal RNA is filed under the name uncultured bacterium. RNAcentral describes it as "partial 16S ribosomal RNA". It matches the Rfam family "Bacterial small subunit ribosomal RNA", at positions 523 to 918 of the family's 1533-position model. The record is from RNAcentral.
AUACGGAGGAUGCGAGCGUUAUCCUGAUUUAUUGGGUUUAAAGGGAGCGUAGGUGGGAUAUUAAGUCAGCUGUGAAAGUUUGGGGCUCAACCUUAAAAUUGCAGUUGAUACUGGUUUCCUUGAGUACGGUACAGGUGGGCGGAAUUCGUGGUGUAGCGGUGAAAUGCUUAGAUAUCACGAAGAACUCCGAUCGCGAAGGCAGCUCACCGGGCCGGAACUGACACUGAUGCUCGAAAGUGCGGGUAUCAAACAGGAUUAGAUACCCUGGUAGUCCGCACAGUAAACGAUGAAUACUCGCUGUUUGCGAUACACUGUAAGCGGCCAAGCGAAAGCGUUAAGUAUUCCACCUGGGGAGUACGCCGGCAACGGUGAAACUCAAAGGAAUUGACGGGG